AUUGAACGCUGGCGGCAGGCUUAACACAUGCAAGUCGAGCGGAGCGAGGGUGCUUGCACCUUAGCUUAGCGGCGGACGGGUGAGUAAUGCUUAGGAAUCUGCCUAUUAGUGGGGGACAACAUUCCGAAAGGAAUGCUAAUACCGCAUACGCCCUACGGGGGAAAGCAGGGGAUCUUCGGACCUUGCGCUAAUAGAUGAGCCUAAGUCGGAUUAGCUAGUUGGUGGGGUAAAGGCCUACCAAGGCGACGAUCUGUAGCGGGUCUGAGAGGAUGAUCCGCCACACUGGGACUAGGAAACGGCCCAGACUCCUACGGGAGGCAGCAGUGGGGAAUAUUGGACAAUGGGCGGAAGCCUGAUCCAGCCAUGCAGCGUGUGUGAAGAAGGCCUUUUGGUUGUAAAGCACUUUAAGCGAGGAGGAGGCUACUUAGAUUAAUACUCUGGGAUAGUGGACGUUACUCGCAGAAUAAGCACCGGCUAACUCUGUGCCAGCCGCCGCCGUAA
Molecule: ribosomal RNA, 501 nt
Filed under: uncultured bacterium
Lineage: Bacteria
Description: partial 16S ribosomal RNA
Rfam family: Bacterial small subunit ribosomal RNA
Source: RNAcentral